CGCAUCUUGCGCUCCUUGGUAUUCCGAGGAGCAUGCCUGUUUGAGUAUUAUAAAAAUUUCAACCUGUCCAUUCUUUUAUUUUUUAAAAGUCUUGACAAGGCUUGGAAUCUGGAAGUUGCUGGCUGUGUUGCGGUCAGCUCUUCUCAAAUGCAUUAGUGAUGAUCAUUGCUAGAUCAGUUUUUGAUAUGAUAACUAUCUAUAUCAUUUCUGAAAUAGUGUUCUUUAUACAAAGAAAGAUCUCGCUUCAAAUUGUCUGAUUACAAAUGACAAAAUACAUUGCAAAAUUUAAUCUCAAAUCAGGUAGGACUACCCGCUGAACUUAA
This 323-nucleotide unclassified non-coding RNA is filed under the name Simocybe sp. RNAcentral's name for it is "partial contains 5.8S ribosomal RNA, internal transcribed spacer 2, and large subunit ribosomal RNA". Lineage: Eukaryota; Fungi; Basidiomycota; Agaricomycetes; Agaricales; Crepidotaceae. The record is from RNAcentral.